UGGGGAAUUUUGGACAAUGGGGGCAACCCUGAUCCAGCAAUGCCGCGUGUGUGAAGAAGGCCUUCGGGUUGUAAAGCACUUUUGUCCGGAAAGAAAACGUCGUGGUUAAUACCCGUGGCGGCUGACGGUACCGGAAGAAUAAGCACCGGCUAACUACGUGCCAGCAGCCGCGGUAAUACGUAGGGUGCAAGCGUUAAUCGGAAUUACUGGGCGUAAAGCGUGCGCAGGCGGUCCGCUAAGACAGAUGUGAAAUCCCCGGGCUUAACCUGGGAACUGCAUUUGUGACUGGCGGGCUAGAGUAUGGCAGAGGGGGGUAGAAUUCCACGUGUAGCAGUGAAAUGCGUAGAGAUGUGGAGGAAUACCGAUGGCGAAGGCAGCCCCCUGGGCCAAUACUGACGCUCAUGCACGAAAGCGUGGGGAGCAAACAGGAUUAGAUACCCUGGUAGUCCACGCCCUAAACGAUGUCAACUAGUUGUCGGGUCUUCAUUGACUUGGUAACGUGCUAACGCGUGAAGUUGACCGCCUGGGAGUACGGUCGCAAGAUUAAAACUUAAAUGAAUUGACGGGGUCAAGCUGUUCCU
This 581-nucleotide ribosomal RNA is filed under the name uncultured bacterium. RNAcentral describes it as "partial 16S ribosomal RNA". It matches the Rfam family "Bacterial small subunit ribosomal RNA", at positions 355 to 937 of the family's 1533-position model. The record is from RNAcentral.